This 391-nucleotide ribosomal RNA is filed under the name uncultured bacterium. RNAcentral describes it as "bacterial SSU rRNA". It matches the Rfam family "Bacterial small subunit ribosomal RNA", at positions 30 to 416 of the family's 1533-position model. The record is from RNAcentral.
AUUGAACGCUGGCGGCAGGCCUAACACAUGCAAGUCGAAUGGUAACAGGAAACAGCUUGCUGUUUCGCUGACGAGUGGCGGACGGGUGAGUAAUGUCUGGGAAACUGCCUGAUGGAGGGGGAUAACUACUGGAAACGGUAGCUAAUACCGCAUAACGUCGCAAGACCAAAGAGGGGGACCUUCGGGCCUCUUGCCAUCAGAUGUGCCCAGAUGGGAUUAGCUAGUAGGUGGGGUAACGGCUCACCUAGGCGACGAUCCCUAGCUGGUCUGAGAGGAUGACCAGCCACACUGGAACUGAGACACGGUCCAGACUCCUACGGGAGGCAGCAGUGGGAAUAUUGCACAAUGGGCGCAAGCCUGAUGCAGCCAUGCCGCGUGUAUGAAGAAGGCC